RNAcentral lists this ribosomal RNA (497 nucleotides) under uncultured bacterium. RNAcentral describes it as "partial 16S ribosomal RNA". It matches the Rfam family "Bacterial small subunit ribosomal RNA", at positions 28 to 507 of the family's 1533-position model. The record is from RNAcentral.
GAUGAACGCUGGCGGCGUGCCUAAUACAUGCAAGUCGAGCGAACGGACGAGAAGCUUGCUUCUCCGAUGUUAGCGGCGGACGGGUGAGUAACACGUGGAUAACCUACCUAUAAGACUGGGAUAACUUCGGGAAACCGGAGCUAAUACCGGAUAAUAUUUUGAACCGCAUGGUUCAAAAGUGAAAGACGGUCUUGCUGUCACUUAUAGAUGGAUCCGCGCUGCAUUAGCUAGUCGGUAAGGUAACGGCUUACCAAGGCAACGAUGCAUAGCCGACCUGAGAGGGUGAUCGGCCACACUGGAACUGAGACACGGUCCAGACUCCUACGGGAGGCAGCAGUAGGGAAUCUUCCGCAAUGGGCGAAAGCCUGACGGAGCAACGCCGCGUGAGUGAUGAAGGUCUUCGGAUCGUAAAACUCUGUUAUUAGGGAAGAACAUAUGUGUAAGUAACUGUGCACAUCUUGACGGUACCUAAUCAGAAAGCCACGGCUAACUACGUG